Cephus cinctus (wheat stem sawfly) is the source of this 2580-nucleotide RNA transcript. It is a transcript of the gene named mannose-1-phosphate guanyltransferase beta, with no coding region annotated. Lineage: Eukaryota; Metazoa; Arthropoda; Insecta; Hymenoptera; Cephidae. The transcript has 7 exons. The record is from RefSeq and is a predicted model, not a curated record.
GAAAUAAGAAAUAGUUUAAAAAAUUAAAGUUGGCUGACUAAUUUCACACAGGUGCCUGAUACUGCUAGAGAACCUUUGCGACACAGACAAAAUAAUGGCACAACUACAUCACUUAUCCUGCGGAAGGGAUUAUCCUGAGUAUCUAGGUUAACCAUUCUGCUGCUUACUGGUACAACGCUGGUACAUGUUCCCCAUUGGGGAUACAGCCAAAAAGAAAAGGAAAGGAAGGAAGGAACUAUCUUGCUUUUAUUUUUCAUGAUUGUAGAUGCAUUGAUAAGUCGCGUGGCAUGUUCCAGCGUCUGCUUUGUUGACAUUUUCUGGUAGGUAAUCUGUCAGUCUUACGUGGCAAUUCUUUAUCAAGUCUUCAUGUUAACCGAGUUGGUUACAGAUCUCGUACGGUGACAAGAGAUUUUGUACACUGGAUGAAAAGUAAUGCAUGAAAAGAGAAAAAGACUGGGUACUAUGCGUGCUUUAAUUCUUGUUGGAGGCUAUGGAACGAGGUUAAGGCCUUUGACCCUAAGCCGUCCAAAACCUCUUGUCGAAUUUGCCAAUAAGCCGAUGCUUCUUCAUCAAAUAGAAGCCCUGGUAGACGCAAAUGUGACAGAAGUAAUUCUGGCAGUUUCCUACCGAGCUGAGCAAAUGGAAAAAGAAUUGGGAGAAGAGGCAAAAAAAUUGGGUGUUAGUUUAAUAUUUUCUCAUGAAACUGAACCAUUAGGCACUGCAGGACCACUUGCACUUGUUCGAGAAACUUUAUCUUCCGGAGAUGAACCCUUUUUUGUUUUGAAUUCCGAUAUCAUUUGCGAAUUUCCUUUCAAACAGCUUGUUCAAUUUCAUAAGAAUCAUGGAAAAGAAGGCACUAUUAUCGUCACUAAAGUUGAGGAACCAUCUAAAUAUGGCGUCGUGGUUUAUGGCGAUGGCGGACGGAUUGAAAGUUUUAUUGAAAAGCCUCAGGAAUUCGUUUCCAACAAGAUUAAUGCAGGAAUGUAUAUUUUUAACCCAAGCGUACUAACAAGGAUAGAGCUAAGGCCUAUGAGCAUAGAAAAAGAAGUAUUUCCUGAUAUGGCUCAAGAUGGGCAAUUAUACGCUAUGGAAUUAUCUGGGUUUUGGAUGGAUGUAGGGCAACCGAAAGAUUUUCUUACUGGUAUGUGCUUGUACCUGACUUCUUUGCGGCAGAAAUCACCUGAGAAGUUAUAUUCGGGUGUGGGCGUAGUCGGGAACGUUUUAGUAGACCCAACAGCAAAAAUUGGUAAAGGAUGUAGAAUUGGACCAAAUGUUACAGUUGGUCCUGGUGUUACGCUAGCUGAUGGAUGUUGCGUAAAAAAGUGUACUCUUCUAAGAGCAGCUACGGUUAAAGAACAUGCGUGGCUUGAUGGGUGUAUUGUUGGCUGGCGAAGUGUUGUGGGUAGAUGGGUACGGAUGGAAGGCACAACAGUUCUCGGCGAAGAUGUGAUAGUCAAGGAUGAACUUUACAUAAACGGAGGACAAGUUCUCCCGCACAAAAGCAUCGCUGCCUCUGUUCCCGAACCACAAAUCAUCAUGUGAUUAAUCAUAUGAUUAUACAUAAACUUUUUGAUAAAAGAAAACCUAAUUUUCUCAACAAGACAAUAGUGAUAGGCUAUGUGCUACAGUAAUGGCCAUGCACUACUGAACAAUUAAACACAACCAAACUGCGAUUUUAAGACCAUGCAGCGUCACGAUGGUAAUUCAACUCUCCAAUACUUCUGUAAAUUACAUGCCUGUAUACAAUUUUCGUUUAUAUUUGAAUUUUAAUUGAUAUUUUUGUAAAACAUUUUGCACUUAUUACAAUAAUAUGUGUAACAUAAGGCUAUGAUUUUAACUAUCUUUAUAUCAGCAAUUUUCGUCAUCUACUAUAUGUACGUACACGCUAGAAAAAUGUCUCCUGCUAAAAGUGCUAUGACCAUAAAAUAUUCCGUUUUAAGUUACAGGUUGUAUAUACUUUAAAUUUUGUAUAAUCACUUGGGUUGUUCGACGUUUUGCGAGAUAGCUUUAUAAGAAUGCAUGUGGAUAUAUUAACUUUUAAACGUUAUAACGCACCCAAAUUUACAAAAUUUUAUAGGAGACAAGAAAACUGUUUACCUUCGCAAAUAUUAAUUCUCAACUAUUUUCAUGAAUUUUUAAAAUUUAGUGGGUUAUACUUUAAAGUUAGGGUAUCAAUAUGCUUAAGAACGCGAAAGCCCAUUUAUUGUGUUAAACGUUAUAAAUAUUAUAUUUACAUUAUGAGGGUAGUACACAAUUUAUCUAGCUACAAUAUUAAAUAUUGUUGGCAACUAGUAUGCUAGUAGCUGCAAAUAUAGCUAUUCAUUUAUUGCAAAUUCUCUUCGAAUGCAAUUAUUUGACUAAGAAAAUUCUAAACUUGAGCGGGAUAAUAUUCAAGUACAAAGCCGAAUAACACAUAAUGUCCAAAAGUUGUCUUUAAAGCUUCUAACGGGACAGGGGCUGUCUUUUAAACAUCUUACAGAUCAUUUUUGGAUGCAUAUAUAUACUGUCUGAGAAUAAAUGUGCAGUCCACUCAGGUGGGAAUUACAUUGGUGGAAAAAUACAAGUAGAUUACGAAAUGAA